Molecule: long non-coding RNA, 1022 nt
Organism: Helianthus annuus (common sunflower)
Lineage: Eukaryota; Viridiplantae; Streptophyta; Magnoliopsida; Asterales; Asteraceae
Exons: 5
Source: RefSeq, a predicted model, not a curated record
AGAAGUGAUGUACAAGAUGGUAAUUUUACCAUGUGUAUCAAUUUUAAAGCAACAUGUACAAGUUGCUUAAAGCCAUAGAAAUUGGAAUUUCUACCAAGUUUAAGACGCCUAAGGGGCACUCUCGGGAUUUCAUCCAUCGAAAAAUCCUGCUCAUCAUUUAUCACCAAUUAAAUAAGAUGCCACCGAUAAGUCGGAGAAAGCCAACCGCCUUCAUCUUCAUUCUUCCAUCUUCUUCUUCACUAAUAAAACCAGUUAGGGUUCUUCACUUCCAUUGCUUAGCUUAAAUUUGUAACCAGAUGAUUGCUAUUGCUAUAAAUAAAUAAAUAAUUAUCAAGAAAAUCGCCAGCCAAAGUGGAAUACUUUCUUCCUCAAGUCUUCGAUCCACCAAUCAAGUCCGUCGAUGGCCGUCGCCUCUUAUCGUCCCGACACCACCAAAAUUUGCACUCACUGUUCUUAGAGGGAUUUCUGACGGGUUAGCUAGAGGAAAUAAACCUGAUGAAAUGGAGAAAUUGGUAAUUGAUCUAUUGAAGGCUCAUUUGAGACAUCCAUAGGCAUCAGAGGUUAACAACAAAGAUAUCAUAUCUCAUUUUGUUUUGCGUCUCGUGUAUUGUCGAUCGUAAUCUUUUGAACUUUUUGCCGUUUAUUUAUUUAUUUUUUAUUUUCUGCUUUGAUGUCUUAUGUAGAUUUGAACUGAUUGUGUUGAUGACUUCAAAUUCAUUAUUGUUUAUGUGGCUUUUGGUAUUGGAUGCUCUUUGUGUAUUCUAGCAAGUUUGUUUUUACUUAUGCAAGCUGGGUACGAAACGGCCAACCAGCUUUUCGACAAAAUGCAUUUUUCUAUUUUCUGUGCCCCCAUGUCUUUCUUUGAUGCCAACCCAUCUGGUCGAAUCCUAAGCCGAGUAUCUUCAGUCCAAACUGCAGUGGACUUGUCAAUACCAUAUAGUAUUGGUCCAUUUGCCUAUGCUAUCAUACAGCUUUUAGGCAUUGUUUUAGUUAUGUCACUAAACCGAGUAUAAUACAAAAAA